Molecule: ribosomal RNA, 1335 nt
Filed under: Pseudunio marocanus
Lineage: Eukaryota; Metazoa; Mollusca; Bivalvia; Unionida; Margaritiferidae
Description: 16S ribosomal RNA
Rfam family: Archaeal large subunit ribosomal RNA (bases 873-1224)
Source: RNAcentral
ACUUAAAUUUUACGCUAUGACCCAAUAGUCUUAAAGAAAAUCCUCAAUUAACUUAAGUAUUCCUCAAAACAACACCCAACCAACAACCGCAAGGGCAUCACCCUCACGUUAUCCAAAGAAGAAAUAACACCCUCUCCCUUUUGCAUCAUGGAGAAGCAACACCCAAUUAAUAAUACCUAAUAUCCCGAAAGACCGCGAGCUACUAAUCUUGAAAAGCUAGUAUGUCAUCAUUAGCCCAAUAGCCAUUAGUAGAGGCCACAUACCUCUCCACGCGAUCUGAUAACUGGUUUCCCCUGAAAAGCAUCAAAGUGCUAGCUUACAGCUCACACAACCUCCCAAUCGUACUGACUGUAAGACACAAACUGUCGAGGACAAGCUCGACAGUGACCACAAAAUACCUAAACCUGCACCCAUUACCCGUAGGCUUAAAAGCAGCCAACAAAACACGUUCUAGUGCCCAACCAGCAAUCACCCAUUAUCCAACCAUAAAUUUUCCCUACAAGGGGAUUCAUUGCAAAACACCCGCAAUGUUAAUCAGGCAUUCUAUUAGUAUUUACAAAGUAACCAUUAACCCCACUCCAACCCAAGAGAAAGUGGGGGAACCCGUCAUCACUCUCACCAAUCAUACAGAGUAAACUCGGCAAUUACUUACUCUCGCCUGUUUACCAAAAACAUCGUCUUCUGCCAACACGCAUAGGAGAUACUGCCUGCCCAAUGACCAACCACACGGUUAAAUGGCCGCGUUAGCGUGAGCGUGCUAAGGUAGCGUAAUAAUUAGCCCUUUAAUUGGGGGCCAGUGAAAGGCAAAACGAGAGAAAACUUUCCCCUGUAUGCCAAAAUAACUUUACAUCUGAGUGAAAAGUCUCGGAUAAUUAAGGAAGACAAAAAGACCCUGCGGAGCUUUACCUCAUCUUGUCAAGAUUAGCAUACCAUAAUCGCCAACAAAAGGUUUGGUUGGGGCAACCUUGGAACAAUCAAAUCUUCCAAUUACACCAUCCACAAACUAUUAAUAACCUGUUUCGGACCAGAAAGAAGCUACCCCAGGGAUAACAGCGUAAUCCGUCUUUAGAGUACACAUCAAAAUACGGGUUUGCGACCUCGAUGUUGGCUUAAGGUAAUUCACAUAAGCGCAGCCGCUAUGAAAGAGUAGUCUGUUCGACUAUUAUACCCUUACAUGAGCUGAGUUAAGACCGGCGCAAGCUAGGUUGGUUUCUAUCUCCUUAACAUAGACAAAACUCCCAACUGUACGAAAGGACCCUAGGAUAUGCACAUCUAAAAGCAACCCCCCCCCUAAAUCUACCAUUACAUUAAUCACCAUUAUUACCACCCAAUCGC